UUAGAUACCCUAUUAUAUUAAUGAAACCCUAGAUUAAUAGUAGAUAUGUUCUUUAAAUUUGAAGAAUUUGGCGGUGGUUUAGUCUUGUUAGAGGAACCUGUUUUUGAAUCGAUACACCACGUAGAAUUUUACUCAUUUUAUUUUGUUUAUAUACCGUCAUUAUCAGAUAAUUUUUAAAGAAAUAAUUAUUAAAAUUUAUAUAAAUAAAUUAAAUUAGAUCAAGGUGUAGCUAAUAAAUGAGUUAAAAUGGGUUACAAUAAAAUAUAUUUAUACGGAUUAGUUGUAGAAGUGAAAUUAUAAAGGAGGAUUUAAUUGUAAUUUGAGUUUAAUAAGCUUAAAAGAUAUAAGCUCUAAAUCAUGUACAUAUCGCCCGUCGCUA
This 379-nucleotide ribosomal RNA is filed under the name Euxanthus ruali. RNAcentral's name for it is "partial 12S ribosomal RNA". The record is from RNAcentral. Lineage: Eukaryota; Metazoa; Arthropoda; Malacostraca; Decapoda; Xanthidae.